This 647-nucleotide unclassified non-coding RNA is filed under the name uncultured Prochlorococcus sp. RNAcentral's name for it is "partial 16S-23S ribosomal RNA intergenic spacer; may also contain 16S ribosomal RNA and 23S ribosomal RNA". The stretch from base 305 to 377 matches the Rfam family "tRNA". Lineage: Bacteria; Bacillati; Cyanobacteriota; Cyanophyceae; Synechococcales; Prochlorococcaceae. The record is from RNAcentral.
UUGUGGAGGAGGACGCCGAAGGUGGGGCUAAUGACUGGGGUGAAGUCGUAACAAGGUAGCCGUACCGGAAGGUGCGGCUGGAUCACCUCCUAACAGGGAGACAACAAAAUGUUAAAUAUUAAUUUUGUCACCUUAGGUCGAUCGGUAUCUCACAUUCUUAAUUUAUUAAGAAUUUUAUUUCCUAAGUUUUUUCUAGGUCACACCCAUUACUUUUUCCUGGGCCAUUAGCUCAGGUGGUUAGAGCGCACCCCUGAUAAGGGUGAGGUCCCUGGUUCAAGUCCAGGAUGGCCCAUAUCUCUAUGUUGGGGGUAUAGCUCAGUUGGUAGAGCGCCUGCUUUGCAAGCAGGAUGUCAGCGGUUCGAGUCCGCUUACCUCCACUGAUCACCACCUCUUCCAUAAUUUAUAGAAGGGAAAUGUUUUGAGUUGUGAUCAAAUUCUGAACGAAUCUAGCUUCCUAAUAAAACUUAUUAAGAUGCUGGACUCAUUGAAUUAAUUUCAUUGUUUUCAGAGAACCCUGACAACUGCAUAGAUUAUUUUUAAAGACAAUAAGCAUCUUUAAUGAUGCAGAUUUAUUAUUUGUGCGAAUGCAUUAAUAACAAUUCUAUUAAGCUGAUGCUUCAAUUUUGAAGUUAUUGGUCAAGCUACAA